Molecule: ribosomal RNA, 253 nt
Filed under: uncultured bacterium
Lineage: Bacteria
Description: partial 16S ribosomal RNA
Rfam family: Bacterial small subunit ribosomal RNA
Source: RNAcentral
CACGUAGGGAGCAAGCGUUGUCCGGAUUCAUUGGGCGUAAAGAGCGCGCAGGCGGUCGUGCAAGUCGCGUGUGAAAGCCCCCGGCUCAACUGGGGAGGGUCACGCGAUACUGCUCGACUCGAAGGCAGGAGAGGGAAGUGGAAUUCCCGGUGUAGUGGUGAAAUGCGUAGAUAUCGGGAGGAACACCAGUGGCGAAGGCGACUUCCUGGCCUGUUCUUGACGCUGAGGCGCGAAAGCUAGGGUAGCAAACGGG